UCGAGCGACAGAUAAGGAGCUUGCUCCUUUGACGUUAGCGGCGGACGGGUGAGUAACACGUGGGUAACCUACCUAUAAGACUGGGAUAACUUCGGGAAACCGGAGCUAAUACCGGAUAACAUUUGGAACCGCAUGGUUCUAAAGUGAAAGAUGGUUUUGCUAUCACUUAUAGAUGGACCCGCGCCGUAUUAGCUAGUUGGUAAGGUAACGGCUUACCAAGGCGACGAUACGUAGCCGACCUGAGAGGGUGAUCGGCCACACUGGAACUGAGACACGGUCCAGACUCCUACGGGAGGCAGCAGUAGGGAAUCUUCCGCAAUGGGCGAAAGCCUGACGGAGCAACGCCGCGUGAGUGAUGAAGGGUUUCGGCUCGUAAAACUCUGUUAUUAGGGAAGAACAAAUGUGUAAGUAACUGUGCACGUCUUGACGGUACCUAAUCAGAAAGCCACGGCUAACUACGUGCCAGCAGCCGCGGUAAUACGUAGGUGGCAAGCGUUAUCCGGAAUUAUUGGGCGUAAAGCGCGCGUAGGCGGUUUCUUAAGUCUGAUGUGAAAGCCCACGGCUCAACCGUGGAGGGUCAUUGGAAACUGGGAAACUUGAGUGCAGAAGAGGAAAGUGGAAUUCCAUGUGUAGCGGUGAAAUGCGCAGAGAUAUGGAGGAACACCAGUGGCGAAGGCGACUUUCUGGUCUGUAACUGACGCUGAUGUGCGAAAGCGUGGGGAUCAAACAGGAUUAGAUACCCUGGUAGUCCACGCCGUAAACGAUGAGUGCUAAGUGUUAGGGGGUUUCCGCCCCUUAGUGCUGCAGCUAACGCAUUAAGCACUCCGCCUGGGGAGUACGACCGCAAGGUUGAAACUCAAAGGAAUUGACGGGGACCCGCACAAGCGGUGGAGCAUGUGGUUUAAUUCGAAGCAACGCGAAGAACCUUACCAAAUCUUGACAUCCUUUGAAAACUCUAGAGAUAGAGCUUUCCCCUUCGGGGGACAAAGUGACAGGUGGUGCAUGGUUGUCGUCAGCUCGUGUCGUGAGAUGUUGGGUUAAGUCCCGCAACGAGCGCAACCCUUAAGCUUAGUUGCCAUCAUUAAGUUGGGCACUCUAGGUUGACUGCCGGUGACAAACCGGAGGAAGGUGGGGAUGACGUCAAAUCAUCAUGCCCCUUAUGAUUUGGGCUACACACGUGCUACAAUGGACAAUACAAAGGGCAGCUAAACCGCGAGGUCAUGCAAAUCCCAUAAAGUUGUUCUCAGUUCGGAUUGUAGUCUGCAACUCGACUACAUGAAGCUGGAAUCGCUAGUAAUCGUAGAUCAGCAUGCUACGGUGAAUACGUUCCCGGGUCUUGUACACACCGCCCGUCACACCACGAGAGUUUGUAACACCCGAAGCCGGUGGAGUAACCAUUUAUGG
This 1404-nucleotide ribosomal RNA is filed under the name Staphylococcus saprophyticus. Its description in RNAcentral is "bacterial SSU rRNA". It matches the Rfam family "Bacterial small subunit ribosomal RNA". Lineage: Bacteria; Bacillati; Bacillota; Bacilli; Caryophanales; Staphylococcaceae. The record is from RNAcentral.